CGGGACCUCAGGUCAGGCGGGGCUA
RNAcentral lists this ribosomal RNA (25 nucleotides) under Swartzia apetala var. subcordata. RNAcentral describes it as "partial 26S ribosomal RNA". The record is from RNAcentral. Lineage: Eukaryota; Viridiplantae; Streptophyta; Magnoliopsida; Fabales; Fabaceae. RNAcentral also lists the same sequence under 1 other name.